RNAcentral lists this ribosomal RNA (500 nucleotides) under uncultured bacterium. RNAcentral's name for it is "partial 16S ribosomal RNA". It matches the Rfam family "Bacterial small subunit ribosomal RNA", at positions 29 to 523 of the family's 1533-position model. The record is from RNAcentral.
AUUGAACGCUGGCGGCAUGCCUUACACAUGCAAGUCGAACGGCAGCACGGGAGCAAUCCUGGUGGCGAGUGGCGAACGGGUGGGUAAAGUAUCGGAACGUGCCCAGUCGUGGGGGAUAACGUAGCGAAAGUUACGCUAAUACCGCAUACGAUCUAUGGAUGAAAGCGGGGGAUCGCAAGACCUCGCGCGAUUGGAGCGGCCGAUAUCAGAUUAGGUAGUUGGUGGGGUAAAGGCGCACCAAGCCGACGAGCUGUAGCUGGUCUGAGAGGACGACGAGCCACACUGGGACUGGGACACGGCCCAGACUCCUACGGGAGGCAGCAGUGGGGAAUUUUGGACAAUGGGCGAAAGCCUGAUCCAGCCAUGCCGCGUGCAGGAUGAAGGCCUUCGGGUUGUAAACUGCUUUUGUACGGAACGAAAAGGUUUGGCCUAAUAAGCUGAGCUCAUGACGGUACCGUAAGAAUAAGCACCGGCUAACUACGUGCCAGCAGCCGCAGUAA